AGAGUUUGAUCCUGGCUCAGAUUGAACGCUGGCGGCAUGCCUUACACAUGCAAGUCGAACGGCAGCACGGGAGCAAUCCUGGUGGCGAGUGGCGAACGGGUGAGUAAUGUAUCGGAACGUACCUUUCAGUGGGGGAUAACGUAGCGAAAGUUACGCUAAUACCGCAUAUUCUGUGAGCAGGAAAGCAGGGGAUCGCAAGACCUUGCGCUGAUUGAGCGGCCGAUAUCAGAUUAGCUAGUUGGUGAGGUAAAGGCUCACCAAGGCGACGAUCUGUAGCGGGUCUGAGAGGGUGAUCCGCCACACUGGAACUGAGACACGGUCCAGACUCCUACGGGAGGCAGCAGUGGGGAAUUUUGGACAAUGGGCGCAAGCCUGAUCCAGCCAUGCCGCGUGAGUGAAGAAGGCCUUCGGGUUGUAAAGCUCUUUCGGCCGGGAAGAAAUCGCAUGGGUUAAUACCCUGUGCGGAUGACGGUACCGGCAUAAGAAGCACCGGCUAACUACGUGCCAGCAGCCGCGGUAAUACGUAGGGUGCGAGCGUUAAUCGGAAUUACUGGGCGUAAAGCGUGCGCAGGCGGUUUGUUAAGAUAGGCGUGAAAUCCCCGGGCUCAACCUGGGAACUGCGCUUAUGACUGGCAAGCUAGAGUACGGCAGAGGGGGGUGGAAUUCCACGUGUAGCAGUGAGAUGCGUAGAGAUGUGGAGGAACACCAAUGGCGAAGGCAGCCCCCUGGGUCGAUACUGACGCUCAUGCACGAAAGCGUGGGUAGCAAACAGGAUUAGAUACCCUGGUAGUCCACGCCCUAAACGAUGUCAACUAGGUGUUGGGUGGGUAAAACCAUUUAGUACCGGAGCUAACGCGUGAAGUUGACCGCCUGGGGAGUACGGCCGCAAGGUUAAAACUCAAAGGAAUUGACGG
RNAcentral lists this ribosomal RNA (914 nucleotides) under uncultured bacterium. RNAcentral's name for it is "bacterial SSU rRNA". It matches the Rfam family "Bacterial small subunit ribosomal RNA", at positions 8 to 916 of the family's 1533-position model. The record is from RNAcentral.